UAGGACAGAAAGACCCUAUGAAGCUUUACUAUUAAUAAAUAUUGAAAAUAUAUAUGUAAAACAUAGAAUAAAUGGGAAAUUAAAAUAUUAUUUUUUCGGAAAUAAUGUAAUUAAAAAUGAAAUACCAUUUUUUAUAUAUAUAAAUUCUUAAAAAAAAUUUCAUAACAAAUGUUUAAACAGUAAUUAUGAGAUAGUUUGACUGGGGCAGUCUCCUCCUAAAUAGUAACGGACGUGUACAAAGUUAUAUUAAUAAUAUAAAGAUAUAAUAUAAUUAACUGUAAGAUAUACAAAUCAAGCAGAGAUUUACGUCGGUCUUAAUGAUCCGGUAAUUUUGUUCAGUGAUAAAAUUAUCGCUUAACGGAUAAAAGUUACUCUA
This 376-nucleotide ribosomal RNA is filed under the name Haemoproteus columbae. RNAcentral's name for it is "partial large subunit ribosomal RNA". It matches the Rfam family "Bacterial large subunit ribosomal RNA", at positions 2078 to 2470 of the family's 2925-position model. Lineage: Eukaryota; Apicomplexa; Aconoidasida; Haemosporida; Haemoproteidae. The record is from RNAcentral.